RNAcentral lists this ribosomal RNA (1343 nucleotides) under uncultured bacterium. RNAcentral's name for it is "16S ribosomal RNA". It matches the Rfam family "Bacterial small subunit ribosomal RNA", at positions 28 to 1378 of the family's 1533-position model. The record is from RNAcentral.
GACGAACGCUGGCGGCGUGCUUAACACAUGCAAGUCGAACGGAAAGGCCCUGCUUUUGUGGGGUGCUCGAGUGGCGAACGGGUGAGUAACACGUGAGUAACCUGCCCUUGACUUUGGGAUAACUUCAGGAAACUGGGGCUAAUACCGGAUAGGAGCUCCUGCUGCAUGGUGGGGGUUGGAAAGUUUCGGCGGUUGGGGAUGGACUCGCGGCUUAUCAGCUUGUUGGUGGGGUAGUGGCUUACCAAGGCUUUGACGGGUAGCCGGCCUGAGAGGGUGACCGGCCACAUUGGGACUGAGAUACGGCCCAGACUCCUACGGGAGGCAGCAGUGGGGAAUAUUGCACAAUGGGCGGAAGCCUGAUGCAGCAACGCCGCGUGCGGGAUGACGGCCUUCGGGUUGUAAACCGCUUUCGCCUGUGACGAAGCGUGAGUGACGGUAAUGGGUAAAGAAGCACCGGCUAACUACGUGCCAGCAGCCGCGGUGAUACGUAGGGUGCGAGCGUUGUCCGGAUUUAUUGGGCGUAAAGGGCUCGUAGGUGGUUGAUCGCGUCGGAAGUGUAAUCUUGGGGCUUAACCCUGAGCGUGCUUUCGAUACGGGUUGACUUGAGGAAGGUAGGGGAGAAUGGAAUUCCUGGUGGAGCGGUGGAAUGCGCAGAUACCAGGAGGAACACCAGUGGCGAAGGCGGUUCUCUGGGCCUUUCCUGACGCUGAGGAGCGAAAGCGUGGGGAGCGAACAGGCUUAGAUACCCUGGUAGUCCACGCUGUAAACGGUGGGUACUAGGUGUGGGGUCCAUUCCACGGGUUCCGUGCCGUAGCUAACGCUUUAAGUACCCCGCCUGGGGAGUACGGCCGCAAGGCUAAAACUCAAAGGAAUUGACGGGGCCCUGCACAAGCGGCGGAGCAUGCGGAUUAAUUCGAUGCAACGCGUAGAACCUUACCUGGGUUUGACAUGGAUCGGGAGUGCUCAGAGAUGGGUGUGCCUCUUUUGGGGUCGGUUCACAGGUGGUGCAUGCCUGUCGUCAGCUCGUGUCGUGAGAUGUUGGGUUAAGUCCCGCAACGAGCGCAACCCUUGUUCACUGUUGCCAGCACGUUAUGGUGGGGACUCAGUGGAGACCGCCGGGGUCAACUCGGAGGAAGGUGGGGAUGACGUCAAGUCCUCAUGCCCCUUAUGUCCAGGGCUUCACGCAUGCUACAAUGGCUGGUACAGAGAGUGGCGAGCCUGUGAGGGUGAGCGAAUCUCGGAAAGCCGGUCUCAGUUCGGAUUGGGGUCUGCAACUCGACCUCAUGAAGUCGGAGUCGCUAGUAAUCGCAGAUCAGCAACGCUGCGGUGAAUACGUUCCCGGG